RNAcentral lists this ribosomal RNA (252 nucleotides) under uncultured bacterium. Its description in RNAcentral is "partial 16S ribosomal RNA". It matches the Rfam family "Bacterial small subunit ribosomal RNA", at positions 524 to 776 of the family's 1533-position model. The record is from RNAcentral.
UACGGAGGACGCGAGCGUUAUCCGGAUUUAUUGGGUUUAAAGGGUGCGCAGGCGGCGUGUCAAGUCAGCGGUAAAAUGUCGGGGCUCAACCCCGGCCGGCCGUUGAAACUGGCGUGCUCGAGUUGGAGAGAAGUAUGCGGAAUUCGUGGUGUAGCGGUGAAAUGCAUAGAUAUCACGAAGAACCCCGAUUGCGAAGGCAGCAUACCGGCUCCACACUGACGCUGAGGCACGAAAGCGUGGGUAUCGAACAGG